RNAcentral lists this ribosomal RNA (431 nucleotides) under uncultured bacterium. RNAcentral's name for it is "bacterial SSU rRNA". It matches the Rfam family "Bacterial small subunit ribosomal RNA", at positions 917 to 1349 of the family's 1533-position model. The record is from RNAcentral.
GGGCCCGCACAAGCGGUGGAGUAUGUGGUUUAAUUCGAUGCAACGCGAAGAACCUUACCAGGGUUUGACAUCCUGCGAAUCUCUUGGAAACAGGAGAGUGCCUUCGGGAACGCAGUGACAGGUGGUGCAUGGCUGUCGUCAGCUCGUGUCGUGAGAUGUUGGGUUAAGUCCCGCAACGAGCGCAACCCACGUCUUUAGUUGCCAGCAUUUAGUUGGGCACUCUAGAGAGACCGCCGGUGAUAAACCGGAGGAAGGUGUGGAUGACGUCAAGUCAUCAUGCCCCUUACAUCCUGGGCUACACACGUACUACAAUGCUACGGACAAAGGGCAGCAAACUCGCGAGAGCUAGCAAAUCCCAUAAACCGUGGCUCAGUUCAGAUCGUAGGCUGCAACUCGCCUACGUGAAGGAGGAAUCGCUAGUAAUCGCAGGU